UACAGAGGAGCCAAGCGUUGUCCGGAUUGACUGGGCGUAAAGCGCACGCAGGCGGACGCGCGCGUGGGGUGUGAAAUCUGGCCGCUUAACGGCCAGGCGCCAUCCCAUACGGCGCGUCUGGAGUGAUGCAGAGGUCGGUGGAAUUGCCGGUGUAGUGGUGAAAUGCGUAGAGAUCCGGAGGAAGACCGGUGGCGAAGGCGGUCUGCUGGGCAGUUUCUGACACUGAUGCGCGACAGCGUGGGGAGCAAACAGG
This 253-nucleotide ribosomal RNA is filed under the name uncultured bacterium. RNAcentral describes it as "partial 16S ribosomal RNA". It matches the Rfam family "Bacterial small subunit ribosomal RNA", at positions 524 to 776 of the family's 1533-position model. The record is from RNAcentral.